GAUGAACGCUGGCGGCGUGCCUAAUACAUGCAAGUCGAGCGAACAGAUGAGGAGCUUGCUCCUCUGACGUUAGCGGCUGACGGGUGAGUAACACGUGGAUAACCUACCUAUAAGACUUGGAUAACUUCGGGAAACCGGAGCUAAUACCGGAUAAUAUAUUGAACCGCAUGGUUCAAUAGUUAAACACGGUUUUGCUGUCUCUUUUAGAUGGUUCCGCGCCGCGUUAUCUAGUUGGUAAGGUAACGGCUUACCAAGGCAACGAGGCGUAGCCGGCGUGAGAGGAGGAUCAGCCAAACUGGAACUGAGACACGGUCAAGAAGACUAAGGGAGGCAGAAGUGGGGAAUAUUGGACAAGGGGCGAAAGCCUGAACAAGCAAUAACGCGUGAGUGAAGAAGGCCUUCGGAGUGUAAAGCCAUUUUGUUGGGAAAGAAAAGCAGCAGGUUAAUACCCCGCUGUUCUGAAGGUACCAAAAGAAUAAGAACCGGCUAACUUCGUG
RNAcentral lists this ribosomal RNA (497 nucleotides) under uncultured bacterium. RNAcentral describes it as "partial 16S ribosomal RNA". It matches the Rfam family "Bacterial small subunit ribosomal RNA", at positions 28 to 507 of the family's 1533-position model. The record is from RNAcentral.